RNAcentral lists this unclassified non-coding RNA (147 nucleotides) under Myrmecridium thailandicum. RNAcentral describes it as "sequence contains ITS2". The record is from RNAcentral. Lineage: Eukaryota; Fungi; Ascomycota; Sordariomycetes; Myrmecridiales; Myrmecridiaceae.
CAACCCCUCAAGCCCCCGGCUUGGUGUUGGGGCACUGCGUCCCCGCAGGCCCCCAAAUCCAGUGGCGGACGCGCCAGGUCCCCGAGCGCAGUAGUUUCUCCUCGCUCCGGGCGGCCGGCGCGGGCUUGCCUCGCCCCCAUCUCCAAA